CAUUGAUGCUUGCAUCAGAUGACGAGUGGCGCACGGGUGAGUAACGCGUAUACAAUCUACCUUUUACAGGGGGAUAGCCUUUAGAAAUGAAGAUUAAUAUCCCAUAGUAAGUAGUUUUGGCAUCAAGACAACUUUAAAGUUUCGGCGGUAAAAGAUGAGUAUGCGUUCUAUUAGUUAGUUGGUAAGGUAACGGCUUACCAAGACCACGAUAGAUAGGGGCCCUGAGAGGGGGAUCCCCCACACUGGUACUGAGACACGGACCAGACUCCUACGGGAGGCAGCAGUGAGGAAUAUUGGACAAUGGGCGCGAGCCUGAUCCAGCCAUGCCGCGUGCAGGAAGACUGCCCUAUGGGUUGUAAACUGCUUUUAUACAGGAAGAAACCUUUUCACGUGUGAAAAGCUGACGGUACUGUAAGAAUAAGGAUCGGCUAACUCCGUGCCAGCAGCCGCGGUAAUACGGAGGAUCCAAGCGUUAUCCGGAAUCAUUGGGUUUAAAGGGUCCGUAGGUGGAUAAUUAAGUCAGGGGUGAAAGUUUGCAGCUCAACUGUAAAAUUGCCUUUGAUACUGGUUAUCUUGAAUUAUUGUGAAGUGGUUAGAAUAUGUAGUG
RNAcentral lists this ribosomal RNA (607 nucleotides) under Winogradskyella sp. RNAcentral describes it as "bacterial SSU rRNA". It matches the Rfam family "Bacterial small subunit ribosomal RNA", at positions 71 to 675 of the family's 1533-position model. The record is from RNAcentral. Lineage: Bacteria; Pseudomonadati; Bacteroidota; Flavobacteriia; Flavobacteriales; Flavobacteriaceae.